GAUGAACGCUGGCGGCGUGCCUAAUACAUGCAAGUCGAGCGAACAGACGAGGAGCUUGCUCCUCUGACGUUAGCGGCGGACGGGUGAGUAACACGUGGAUAACCUACCUAUAAGACUGGGAUAACUUCGGGAAACCGGAGCUAAUACCGGAUAAUAUAUUGAACCGCAUGGUUCAAUGGUGAAAGACGGUUUUGCUGUCACUUAUAGAUGGAUCCGCGCCGCAUUAGCUAGUUGGUAAGGUAACGGCUUACCAAGGCAACGAUGCGUAGCCGACCUGAGAGGUGGAUCGGCCACACUGGAACUGAGACACGGCCCAGACUCCUACGGGAGGCAGCAGUAGGGAAUCUUCCGCAAUGGGCGAAAGCCUGACGGAGCAACGCCGCGUGAGUGAUGAAGGUCUUCGGAUCGUAAAACUCUGUUAUUAGGGAAGAACAAAUGUGUAAGUAACUAUGCACGUCUUGACGGUACCUAAUCAGAAAGCCACGGCUAACUACGU
This 496-nucleotide ribosomal RNA is filed under the name uncultured bacterium. RNAcentral describes it as "partial 16S ribosomal RNA". It matches the Rfam family "Bacterial small subunit ribosomal RNA", at positions 28 to 506 of the family's 1533-position model. The record is from RNAcentral.